This 445-nucleotide ribosomal RNA is filed under the name uncultured bacterium. RNAcentral's name for it is "partial 16S ribosomal RNA". It matches the Rfam family "Bacterial small subunit ribosomal RNA", at positions 354 to 796 of the family's 1533-position model. The record is from RNAcentral.
GUGAGGAAUAUUGGUCAAUGGGCGAGAGCCUGAACCAGCCAAGUCGCGUGAAGGAAGAAGGAUCUAUGGUUCGUAAACUUCUUUUGCAGGGGAAUAAAGUGCAGGACGUGUCCUGUUUUGUAUGUACCCUGAGGAUAAGGAUCGGCUAACUCCGUGCCAGCAGCCGCGGUAAUACGGAGGAUCCGAGCGUUAUCCGGAUUUAUUGGGUUUAAAGGGUGCGUAGGUGGUUUGAUAAGUCAGCGGUGAAAGUUUGCAGCUUAACUGUAAAAAUGCCGUUGAAACUGUCGGACUUGAGUGUAAAUGAGGUAGGCGGAAUGCGUGGUGUAGCGGUGAAAUGCAUAGAUAUCACGCAGAACUCCGAUUGCGAAGGCAGCUUACUAAGCUACAACUGACACUGAAGCACGAAAGCGUGGGGAUCAAACAGGAUUAGAUACCCUAGUAGUCC